CCCGCCUGGGGGCCUCCGCCCGCCGCGACGCCCCCGGAAGGGAAACGGGGCCGGCGGACCCCGCUCCGCGCCGCCGGGCCGGGCUCGGCUCCCGGGGCGGCCCCCAGCGUCCCCCGGGCCCGGCCCGAGGCCGCUCGCCUCACGGGAGCCGCUCGCCUCACGACGGGGGCUGCGCGCGCGGGGUAACGGUCGCGGCCCCGGCAACGGCCGCCAGCGGCGUGUACUGGACAGAUGGGAUUACCAUCCACGCAGCUGCACAUUCGUGCCUUGAAGGCAGACAAAUUGAAAGGAACUGACAGGGCUGCUGCUGAAAGAAUUUUCUUACACAUACCAGCUAAAUUACAAGUCUUCCACAUCAAGACUGAAAAAUAAUCUUCAAACAAUCGCUGCUCUACGUAACACAAGAUCCUUCACUUAUGACAGCUCCCUUGUGGAAAGAUGAGAAUAUUCAUGUCUCCUAAAUCUGCCAUACUAUAAUGUCCCCCUACUCUCCACAUCAGUUCCUCAGACUACAGUUUGAGAAGACUGGCUCUGGCAAGACCAUCACCCUUAAACAGUUCCAGGUGUUGUUCCCCUCUGCCCUACUGCAAUCAUGCAAGAACCACUGAACGAGGCAGCUGACUUACAUUACUUUCAAGAAAAAAUGGUUGGGGGAGGGAGGCUCAGAGCACAGCCCCACAGACACAAUCAAGGAGGGCAGCAUGGUGAAGCUGGGGACAGAAAUAACAAAAGCUACAUUGCUACCAAGGCCCCCGUACCAUCAAAUCAUGCCUUUGAUCACCUACCUGUCUACAUUCUUCCAGCUCUUGGGUUAUCUUUUUCCUUCUUCUUAAAGAAGUCUGUAAGAACCAAGAGUCAUUUACUACUACUCAGCAUUCAUAGCCUGAAAAUCUUUCAGCUGAAGAGUGGGAUAAGGGAUAAGACCUGCUUUGAACCUGAUUUUGAAGGGUAAAUAAAAUCCCUUUAUUCCCUUCUGGGCUCCUCCUAUAUAUGACAUUUGAUGCCUUUCUCCCAUAUGUCAGGUAACCAGCUUAGCCAUAAGUGCUGAGGAAUGUAAUUACCAGACAGGCUUUGAGUUUUUACAUGAAAAAAGGUAUCACUAAUCCCAAAGCAUGUUUGCAAAACUCUGGAUAGUCAGUUAUCAUGCAAGCUCUCUGCUCAACUAGGAGUAACUCACCCGGCGAUACUUUUCAGGGAACGCAGACUGGCAAUCAAGAAUUGUGAUCACUACACAGCAUUCCUGGCCCACGGUGCCAUGGCAGCAGGUACAGCACACUGGGUUAGAAAUUUUUCUUACAAUUGUGAAAGUCAGAGGAGUAGAGAAGAGGGUCAAGCUCCAGAAUUCUCUAGACUAACCCAGAGACAUUGUUCUGUAAUUCAACGAAAUUUGAAUUGAAUGUGUAAUUUUAGUUCAAUGAAAAGUAGCAAUUAAAACAACAACAAAAAACGCAAACCCACAAUGAAAAACCAUUUAUUUCAUCUCUAUUGUCUCCAUGCAGAGCAGACCAAUACAGAUGAAGUGGGAAAAUGCAUAAGAGUAGCUGAAAAAAUAGAGCUUAGAAAAUACUAAUCUCUCUGCAUUUCCAAAAGUGACAAAUGUGGUGGAGUGAUGCUCCAUUUCCUCCCAAUGCUCUGCAUCCUCAGCCCCAGGGCUGACAUUGCAUGUAGUGGAAAGCCAGCCUCUCCUGUAAGCCCCGUGGAUACCCUCUACAGGGUGUCUUCCCAAGAACCGCAGACUCUCUGGGCCUGUGGUAUCAGCCAAGAAAAACAACUGAGAAAUUCCUUCUUCAGUGUCAUCCACUUCACAUUCCUGAACGCUGAGCACAAAAUCCUGACUGUAGUUUAGUCUUGGCAAGAGUCAAUGCUGAUGCAACAACACCAACUCAUGGGCACCCACCUGGCAAUGCUUCAACUUAAACACCAGUCUCAUUUUGAGAGAGAUCUUGGGAAAUUGCAUGCACCUCUUUACAAACUCAGCCUCCAAAGCCCUACUACAGGGUCCAGCUAGCUUUAGUCCCCAGGGAGGGUAGGGGGGAACAACGAAGCUAGAACUAGGGAGGUUAAUAUAUUCAUCCAGUCCCUGCAGGCUAAUCAGAUUAAUCUUCCAGGAAAGUGGAUGCUACCUUUAGACUUUCUGACAACUGAAUGACAGAGGGAGAAGCUGACAAAGGAAAGCUACUUUGUUUUCCAAAACACUCCUCCUCCCCUAAG
This is a long non-coding RNA of Oxyura jamaicensis (ruddy duck), 2211 nucleotides long. RefSeq lists it as uncharacterized. The transcript is spliced from 2 exons. Lineage: Eukaryota; Metazoa; Chordata; Aves; Anseriformes; Anatidae. The record is from RefSeq and is a predicted model, not a curated record.